CCCCUCUCAAUAUUGCACCUGGAGAGUUUCCAGUAUUCUACCAGUCUCGACUACAGGAGAGAGAGCGAGCAGAGGCAUACCCAUUCCAUUCCUAGCUGGGGCAGGGGCUAGCGAGUGGAAGGCAAUCUCCUACAAGU
Small nucleolar RNA from Tachyglossus aculeatus (Australian echidna), 137 nucleotides. NCBI's taxonomy places the organism in Eukaryota, Metazoa, Chordata, Mammalia, Monotremata, Tachyglossidae. The record is from RefSeq and is a predicted model, not a curated record.